CUAGUAGUCACGUAGUUUGAUCCUGGCUCAGAACGACGCUGGCGGCAUGCCUAACACAUGCAAGUCGAACGAGACCUUCGGGUCUAGUGGCGCACGGGUGCGUAACGCGUGGGAAUCUGCCCUUGGGUUCGGAAUAACAGUUGGAAACGACUGCUAAUACCGGAUGAUGACGUAAGUCCAAAGAUUUAUCGCCCAAGGAUGAGCCCGCGUAGGAUUAGCUAGUUGGUGAGGUAAAGGCUCACCAAGCCGACGAUCUGUAGCUGGUCUGAGAGGACGACCAGCCACACUGGGACUGAGACACGGCCCAGACUCCUACGGGAGGCAGCAGUGGGGAAUUUUGGACAAUGGGCGCAAGCCUGAUCCAGCAAUGCCGCGUGCAGGAUGUAGGCCUUCGGGUUGUAAACUGCUUUUGUACGGAACGAAACGGUGAGCUCUAAUACAGUUUGCUAAUGACGGUACCGUAAGAAUAAGCACCGGCUAACUACGUG
RNAcentral lists this ribosomal RNA (488 nucleotides) under uncultured bacterium. RNAcentral describes it as "bacterial SSU rRNA". It matches the Rfam family "Bacterial small subunit ribosomal RNA", at positions 1 to 507 of the family's 1533-position model. The record is from RNAcentral.